CAGCCGCCGCGGGAAUACGUAGGUGGCAAGCGUUGUCCGGAAUUAUUGGGCGUAAAGGGCUCGCAGGCGGUUUCUUAAGUCUGAUGUGAAAGCCCCCGGCUCAACCGGGGAGGGUCAUUGGAAACUGGGAAACUUGAGUGCAGAAGAGGAGAGUGGAAUUCCACGUGUAGCGGUGAAAUGCGUAGAGAUGUGGAGGAACACCAGUGGCGAAGGCGACUCUCUGGUCUGUAACUGACGCUGAGGCGCGAAAGCGUGGGGAGCAAACAGGAUUAGAUACCCGGGUAGUCCCUGUCUCUUAUAA
RNAcentral lists this ribosomal RNA (301 nucleotides) under uncultured bacterium. RNAcentral describes it as "partial 16S ribosomal RNA". It matches the Rfam family "Bacterial small subunit ribosomal RNA", at positions 509 to 809 of the family's 1533-position model. The record is from RNAcentral.